Melospiza melodia melodia is the source of this 1860-nucleotide long non-coding RNA. RefSeq lists it as uncharacterized. NCBI's taxonomy places the organism in Eukaryota, Metazoa, Chordata, Aves, Passeriformes, Passerellidae. The transcript has 3 exons. The record is from RefSeq and is a predicted model, not a curated record.
AGAGAGGGCACGGAGCGGGCACAGAGCAGGCACGGAGCGGGCACUGGGAGGGCACGGAGCGGAGCACCGUGCCAGCCCCUGAGAAGAAAAUUAACUCUAUCCCAGAUGAAACUAGGACAAGGCCAUAUGACAAACCUUUGGUUCAUCUAGUGUAUCAGCGUUUCAAGACUGCUACAGGAUGGAAGUUGUCUCUACAGACUAGGAAAGUGUCCCUAAAGAAAAUAUCCCGUGGGUGGAAGUCUCAGAGGAGAUGGAGAUGUGCAGAACAAAGACAGCAAGGCAGUUCAGCCCCAGCUCUGUGGCCCAGCAGCUCCUCCCACCUCCUUUAUCAGCUGAAUUGUCAAAGAAGGCUUGGAAAGAAGCUCUCAAAGCCCAGGGUUUUGUCGAUCAUACUGCCAGUGAAAUGGUCAUGCAGUACAGGCAAAUUUCUGAUCAGCAUGUUGUCUUCUCUUUUAAGGCAAAAUUAAUUAAAUAUGGACCUUACCCAAUUUCCCUGGCAGCUGGCACAGGAGGUUUUCCACUGACUGCAGCAGAGCUGGUUAAAGACCUUUACUCCUAUAAUUGCUUCAUUUUAUGCACUGAGUGGUUUGACACUUUGCAUGGUUGAUAUGAUCUUGGAUGUGUAGAGACCAUGAAUUACCUAAGUGUCACAGAUAUUAAAUCAUGAAGUAGAUGACAGUGUCCUCUCUAUGUCAUAUGAUCUUAGCGCACUUUGUGGGAUAGUCUCUUUUAUUAUUGCCAGUAAUCAUAAGUGCUGAAAAAAUACCUUAAGUAAAAUAGCAUUUUAGAGUACAAUGCAUCCAAUGUUCUUAAUAUGUACAUACACAUCUGCAAUAUGUUAAACUCAGACUCAUGCCCAUUUAAUCUCAAGGAUUUCAAUGGGGUGUCUGUAUGGAAUGAAGGGAGAAGUUUGAUCCCAGAAUACUCAAUGGCCGCACCUUUUGGGAACACUUUAGGCCUUGGAUUUUCACCUAGAUUUGUGUUUAUAAUAAUAAACAUGUAAUUUAUUAAAUAUAUAUUUAUAAUAAAUUCCAUGCUAUCAAUGGUCUGUCUACUGUAUGAAUAAUUUCAUGUACUACUUGGUUUCUCUUUGAUGAUUUCAGAAAACUGUGCAUCCAAUUAAUCUGACAUGUGGUUUUGAGCCACAGUGAUAAAUGCCUGGUAAGGGUGCUCUCUGCCCAGAGAUGUGAUCAGGAUCUAUUCCAAUAAUCCAAAUAAAGCCUGUCAAUGAGCAGGUUCCCUUGUGAGAAGAAAUGGGCUUGAAGCAGUUACAGGUCCUGUAUUCCUCUUCAUGGAUUUAAGUCAGAACGGAUGGAUACUUUGGUUCAGCUCCCUUCUGCCGUGGACAAAUUCACAAAGUCAGGAAUAUGUACCUCUGCCAGUGUGUGCAAAACCACUUCUUAGCCACUGCAACCUAGAGUGCACCAAGAGCAGGGCAAGAGAAGCAGCAAAUGAGAUUGUCCUAAACGUCCCUUAGCAGUAGGUGCUGUGUCCAGCUAGUGCCAGCCUCUCCUCCUGUCACGGCAGUACUGCCCCUUCAGAAGCUGAUGUUGGCGUCAGGCCCCCAUUUGUAUUGACUCUGGGAAGAGCCUGAGUGUUGUGGAUAGGUAAAACUUUACAGAAGGAAGCCUUGUGAAAUCAUGCCUCACUCCUGUUACUUUGGCAAAGUAGAAAAGGCUGCUGGGAGUGACUCAGCUGAAUUAGAGAUAGAAAAACAAGUUUUAUAACCAUUGUGCGUUCACAUUGUUGUGUAUGGUGGUUGGUUGGAUGAUGUUUGUUGUAUUUUAGAAUUAUGUAACUGAUAAAAGGCUAACUGCUUAAAAAUACCAGGUUUUUGCAAUAAAGGAGUUCUCUUUUGCA